GAGGGCAUAGCUCAGUGGUAGAGCACAUGCUUAGCAUGCAUGAGGUCCUGGGUUUAAUACUCAGUACCUCCU
Molecule: transfer RNA, 72 nt
Filed under: Camelus bactrianus (Bactrian camel)
Lineage: Eukaryota; Metazoa; Chordata; Mammalia; Artiodactyla; Camelidae
Also listed under: 2 other names
Rfam family: tRNA
About the family: Transfer RNA (tRNA) molecules are approximately 80 nucleotides in length. Their secondary structure includes four short double-helical elements and three loops (D, anti-codon, and T loops).
Source: Rfam by way of RNAcentral